GUAAUCUUUGCUUACAUCUGGUAUGCUGCCGAUGGGGAUGGCAUCUUCGGGGCAGACUUCAGGGUAAUAUUGAGCUUAAGAUGUUGUUUUGGGGGUCUUGUACGUAAUCUUCAAAAGCUGAACAAGAAUCUUGAGCAAACCUGCAUAUGGCGGGCACGAGGUUCUUAGCUUGCAAGGUUCACAAGGAAAAGAAAGGGUGGGAAAGCAAAGAUCUCGCAUUGUUUACUCACGUGUGAAGGGAAAAAUCAAAGCCAGUCAAAACCCAGCACAGAGCUGUUAAGAUCCAGCAGAAACAUAUUAUGCUGAAAUGCAGGAAGAGGAACACGAUGGAAGCAAAUAAGCAUAAGGCAGAAGUUUACAUCUUAAAUGAAAUAUAGGGUGAAGGAGAAAUUCAGAUUUUUCCUUACAAGAUAAGUCCAGGGUGCCAAUGCGACAGAAGCAGAACUGAGCCAAAGCAGCAAUCCAUUAGUCUAAUCAAGUUAGUUGUGGUUGUGCACUCUUUAGAAUCAACCAGAUACUAAUAUAUUGUUUAGAACCAGAAAAUGAGUAAGCAAUAGACUUUCAAAAACAGAAUUCUGGAUUGAA
Theobroma cacao (cacao) is the source of this 585-nucleotide non-coding RNA. The record is from RefSeq and is a predicted model, not a curated record. NCBI's taxonomy places the organism in Eukaryota, Viridiplantae, Streptophyta, Magnoliopsida, Malvales, Malvaceae.